This 1167-nucleotide long non-coding RNA is filed under the name Piliocolobus tephrosceles (Ugandan red Colobus). Its description in RNAcentral is "lncRNA (ENSPTEG00000005060.1)". Lineage: Eukaryota; Metazoa; Chordata; Mammalia; Primates; Cercopithecidae. The record is from RNAcentral.
AACAACUUUUCCAAACACAACCAUAUAAUAAUUCUCCUACGAAUGUAAAACAAUUGAAUCAACAAAUAAACGAAAACAAUUAUAAUGAAUUAAAUAACAUAAAACCAAAUGAAAAUAUAAAAAUUUUGAAUAUACGUUCUAUAUCACUACCUGCCCAAAAAAAUAAUCAAUCAUAUUAUGGUAUUAAUACAACAGAUGAUAGUUAUAUAUAUUUAAACAAUAAAAUAAAUAAUGUAGAACAUAUAUGUAAACAUUUAAGUGCUAACAAUUUGCAAGAUAGUUCUGCUGGUGUAAAUGCGGAAUAUACAUGCAUAACGAGCAUACAAAGUCCACAAGCUGAUCAUAGUGUUAUGAAUAAUGUAAAUGUAAAUGAUAAUGACAGGAGUUAUAUAACAACAGAAGAGGGAAUAGAAAUCGAAAGUUUAUAUUAUGGUAUAGAAGGUAGUAACAUCCAAAUGGAUAAUGUACGGUCGUGUAACUCACAAUUAAGCUAUUCACAAUCUAGAUACCCACAAUCGAGCAAUGUUAUUAAAAAUGAAAUGAAGGAAAUUUUAAAAAGUGAUCAACUUACUGAAAGAGUUAAAGAAAAAUGUAAAAAAAAGGAUGCAAAAAAGGAUGUAAAAAAUGAUGCAAAAAAUGAUGCAAAAAAUGAUGCAAAAAAGGAUGCAAAAAAUGAUGCAAAAAAUGAUGUAAAAAAUGAUGCAAAAAANNNNNNNNNNGAUGCAAAAAAUGAUGCAAAAAAUGAUGUAAAAAAUGAUGCAAAAAAUGAUGCAAAAAAUGAUGCAAAAAAUGAUGCAAAAGAGAAUGCAAAAGAGGAUACAAAAGAGAAUGCAAAAGAGAAUGCAAAAGAUAAUGCAAAAGAGGAUACAAAAAAAGAUACAAAAAAAGAUACAAAAAAAGAUACACAAAAAGAUACACAAACUGAAAAUGAUACGACAGUGGGAAACGUAAAUGAAAACCUGACCCAAGUAAAAACACGAGAAGGAAGUAAUACUUACGUUAAUUAUGAUAUUAAUAUUGUAAACAACAUAAAUAGUAUAAACAGUAUAAGUAAUAUAAACGAUAUAAAUUACAUGAACAACCAUAACCAAUACAUCAUGUGUAAUAGUAACAAUUUUGAGACAUAUUCCAAAAAUACACAUGUAAUGGAUAAUAUAAGUAACGAAG